RNAcentral lists this long non-coding RNA (42510 nucleotides) under Eutrema salsugineum. RNAcentral describes it as "long non-coding RNA (ESAL_LNC001387)". The stretch from base 39710 to 39795 matches the Rfam family "Plant small nucleolar RNA SNOR75". The record is from RNAcentral. Lineage: Eukaryota; Viridiplantae; Streptophyta; Magnoliopsida; Brassicales; Brassicaceae.
GGAUAAGAAAUAUGCCUUCAUGCUGACUCAUGACUCUCAACUCUCAUGAUAUCCAGAAGCACAAAAAAUUUCCAAACAAGAAAAGGCUACUAUUGCAUGUUAAAGGAACUGUAGUGCGAUAUAUCCCUAAAUGUUUAAACGUAAAAGAUAAGGUACUCUUAUAUGUGACUGAUCAUACUAUCCCGAGAACCUUAAGACCAUAAGGACACACAGCCAUCUCACUAAGAAAGUGAAAUUUAGAUACGUACCAUCCCAAGCAUCAUAAAACUCUCCCACGGGGGUAGCAAGUCUUUGUGAACCUUCCUCUCCUGCAUCACCCUCUACCUCCGUGUUACUUGUGAAACUUGCUGAUUCACCUGGAUCAUAGAAAUCUUCAGACUCACUCUCCUUGUCUGCUUUGACAGUGACAGGGUCUGAUAGAUUGCUUUCCCGUCCUAAACCAUUGGCAGCACUAUCCAACUCCGACUUUCCAUUCUCAGUUUUCCCGUCAAGCGGACUCCAAUUCCCAACAGGACCAUCAACAAUCCCAUCAAAAUCAAAGUUUCCAACUUGAUGAGCAUGAACACCAUUAGUAUAAUCCUCUUCAGUAGCCUCACUUACAGGAAAUGAGAACGAGGUCGACUUCCUCCGAGGUGAAGCCUUAACGUCUGUACCACUAGUAAUAGCUUCAUCUUCCAGCGUCUUCUUUUGGGAAGCCACAUUAGCCUCGGAGGAGCUUUUCAAAAGACGCGGCCCGCGUGAUUUGUGGUUGAUGAUAUAAGGAGAAGGUGGGAAAGAAGAUGGCGAAUUGGGGAGAGGAAUUGCAUCAGGUGUGGCGUAGAGAGCCGGUGACAUCUGAGGACGAGUAAAUGUCCUCUCAUUAUUAGGUAAUUUACCUUUACCUUUCUCCAGUUUUGAUAUUGGUGGCUUCGAAUAAAACGAUUUUGUGCUUGGAACAGUCUCUACGGAUGUGGAAGCCCCUGGCUCUAGCAUUCUAUCCAAAGCAAUUGCAGAAAAAGUAGGCAUGGCUCUGCAUCAUUGAAGAUUCGAAAAUUAGUACGACAAUACCAAAAGAGAUGAAACCACCACAAGAGCUUUCUUCGUUUCAAUCGAAUCAGAAAUGAAAAUGAAACAAGCACGAAAUGCAAUUAACAAGGAGUAAGUGAGAAAAUUAGCUAUUGGGAAGGUACAAAGCAAAGACCGCGUGUUCGAUUCACACCAUCGCUACCACGAAGCUACCAAACAAAACUUUAGAUUCUCGUCGAAAUUCGAGAGGAUACGAGAAGAUAAAAAAAACAGCUCACGAAAACCUAAAAUCGAGAAGAAGCAGGCAAAUCAAUCACAAAUCGAGAAUCUAGAAAGGUCAAGUCGAGAAGUCAAUCGAAUCUCCCCAACGCAAAGCAAGAACAGCACCUCCAAGAUGCAAUCCUCCGAUAACGAAUUUUCCAGAAAUUCCACCGCAACACAACAAGCCGAUAAACCGGAAAACAUAACCAAAAGAAAAAUUCAAAGGCGUAAAAGAACGAUUACCUCGCACGCGAAGGAGAUCUCGACGGAAGAAGCUGAAAAAUCUAACGGUAGAUCCUGGUUAGACGGAAGCGAGACGACGACGAAGAUUGGGAGAAGAAGAAGAGGAUCGAUACGGCAUCGUAUAAGAGAUGCAGAGGAAGGAGGAGGGAAGAAGAAGAAGAAGAAGAAAACCUCUUCUCCAAGGCUUUUUAUCGCAAACGACACCUCCGCUUUGUCUCUCCGCAAAUAUUUGAUUUUGAAAACGCUCUCUUUUUUUCUCUUUGCUUCUUUCUUUCCCCUAUUCUUGGCGACCCAUUUCUUAACAGAUUCAUUAUUUUAUCUCAAAUCUUAAUUUGUUUCUUUUUAAAAAUUAAUCCUCUACGCUUGGUCGUCGAACAUUUUAGCCAAACGUGUCUUUUUGAGAGAUCCAAAGACGGAUUUGACCUUUGACGGUAUGACUAACGAUCAAGGUCGGCGCGAUAACGAGGGGUAUUUUUAUGUAAAUAAUUCAACGGUAGGGUUUCGAAAUUAAUCGAAAACGACGCCGUCUAAGGGAUCUUGUUAAAGUGGGUCAUAUAAGAGAACUGGUCCUAUCUCGAAUAUUCAAUUACGUCAUAAAAACGGUGACGUGGCAACAUUAGGUCCUAAAAGCAAUUUUGGUUUUUAUUAACUUUUAACCCGUGGCCCAAUUUAUCUGUUCACGAAUCUGUAAAGCCCAUUUUGAAAACGAAUUUUUAAUAUUUUUUUGAAAAGUUGUUUUUGUCUUGUUCAAAUCUGGACUUUGAUAUUUUCUAGAGCCAGUUCCAUAACGUGACACAUGUGAACACGCUUAUAAUAAUAUUUAGAAUUUGUUAACAAAGUCAUGUUUUAUAAUCAGGUCUUCCAAAUAAAGGAGACUAUCUUACUCAUUUUAUUGCAAUAUUUUUCCUGAACUUUACUAUCUGAUGAGAAGAAGAAAUCAAAUGCAUUUGCCAUUCAAAAUUUGAAACUCUCUUCCCUUUAUUUUAAAAUUUUAAAACAAAAGCUAAAGGUAUGAAACAAAAGAACCUGAUUCAAAGCAACCAACUCCUGACCUCCUAUUCCAGCAAUUGAUUCGAUUCUCAUAAACAUAUCUUUAUAAAAUAAACUAGAAAUUAAAACCAAGUUAUUAAUCAUUAUAAGCUCAUGGAUCUUGAAUUUAUCUUAUUCUUGAGAACUCAAUGAAAGUGCACUAAACACUCAUAUUUUGAAUACAUCAAUUCGCAAAACAUGACAAAUUCAUAGUUUGAUCCAUCUUUUGAAUCGAAUCACAGGUUGUUUUUUGUGUUCCUCAUAGAUUAUAUAAAAAACAAUAUACAAAGUCUUUAUUCGUCUUCCUUCAUUUGAAUCUAUCUGUAAUGAAUCACAGGUGCGUUAGAAUUCGGAUCCCACACACCUCCUUCCUUCACAUAUUCCAUAUACCUCGCAAACUCCGGUUUCGCCGUCGCCAAACUCUUCUUAGUCGGCUUCUUCUUCUUCUUCCUCUGAAAACGAACGUCGAAGAAACUUAGCAAAGGAUGAACAGAACCACCGGUUGCUUUCGCCGUCGGCGUCUUCUUCACCUCUUGAAUCGGGUUUCUUGAAUUACCAUAAACACUAGCCGGAACGCUCGUGACCCUCUUCAGUCUCGGUUCUUCGUCGCCGAGCUUUUCGUAGCCGCCGUGGCUUUUCCUGGUGCUCAUGGCUCUAAACAUUGUGGUGUGCUGUGUGAAAAAGUUUGAUUUUUUCUUUUUUUUGUUAGGUGUGUUCUUGAAUUUUUCUCUUGAUGCUGUUUAUUUAAGUAAAAGUAGGCCAAGUUUGCUUUGUGAAAUGAAAAGAAAAAUAAUAUAACUGUUGACUUUUAUUUUUGUGUAGAUCUCCAACUAACGACAUUAAAUAUAUAUGUGUAUAAUUUAAUAAAAAGCAUGUGUUAAUGUUACACCCACAUGAUGUAUACAUCUCGUCCCUGUUUAAUCGCCGGUCAAUUGCGGUUUAUGCUGACUAUUAUUACGUCUACAUCUUUUAGACAAUUCAAAUGGACAAUGGCUUUAGAGUUUACACUAACUUGUCGUGUGCAAAACUUUAUUUGUCUCAUUUAAAUCCAACAAUUUAUUAUUCUUGGUUAGAAGAGAAAAAGUUUGCAACAUUGUCUAGAAACUUGCAUGAUCAAAAGGAAACCUUUCAGAAACCAUUUGCAAAGAUAUAUCUAAUGCGUUUGAUUCCAAAUCCACGUAAGGUCAAUAUGGUUUGAGUUGAUCAUAUAAUCGUAUUAUAUAUCCUUCUUGUUUAAAACCUUUAUUGAAGUUAGACUUGUUCCUAUAUCUAUAUACUGUAUUUGUGUUUUGUCAUAUUCUUAGGUCGGACAGGGAGGUGGAAACCUUAUUCUUCCCAAAACGAGUGGAAGACGGAAAGAAGAAGAAGAAGAAGACGACACAAAUACGAAAAGAAAAACAAAUUCCUACUAAAUUAGUUAUGACAAUACAAAAAUAUAUUAUGUUGUUACUUGUUAGUGAAAGGUUUGACAUAUGUUAAUUUCCUUAUAUGUUAUUAUAGGUCUCAAUUUACUUAGAUGUGGGAUUGUCAAGGAAUUUGGUGACUUGAUGACAGAGGAGACGGUGACCGGUAUUAUUAAAACUUGAUUACCCAAUGAAAAUUGAGAAUAAGAAGAGGAUGAGCAAGCUCUGUUUAAGUAGUCUUUCAAAUAGGGCAAAUCACCGAGAACAUUGUCAUAAUCGCUGCGCCUCAUAGCAUGUUGCACUAGAAAAUAGAUGACAUAACAUGAUACCAAUAACAAAAAAAAACCUAGACAUCGAAGGAAGAGUAAGAAUCAUACACUAGCUAGGAAGACUACAUAAUAAGAAUGUUGUUGUAUCUCAAGUUCAGUGUAUUGCAAAUUGGAUCAACAAAUCUUUUGUUAGGGACAACCAAACCAUUUUAGAUAGACGAAAAUUGUUCUUGUUAUUCUUCUUCUUAGCCAAGUAGUGUGCUCGCUAUCUUUCCCCUGCCUCUAGUGUCAACAAAUACAUUUUCUUUUUAAUCAGAAUAAAAAAAUACAUUAGGCGUCUUAUUUUUUUACCAAACAAAAUUAUAACCACAAAUCAAGAGAAUAGCUAACACCAAAUUCACUGUUUGGAGUUUAAUUUCGGUUCAGCUUGUUUCGUCAUAUGAACCCGUAAAUUCCUGAUCAUCAAGGCAUGAAACAAAUACAGAAGAACAAUGCUAAAUGUGUUCCGUACAAUAUGUACUUAUUAUAAAAAAACGCCUAAAAACAAAACGCUAGAAGGAGGGGUCGAACCUCCGACCUUGUGGUUAACAGCCACACGCUCUAACCAACUGAGCUAUUCCAGCUUCCUUACUCUAUCUUGAAUUUUAAAUAUUAUUAUACAUAUUUGUAUCCGUUUAAUUGAAAGGUCCAAAGUUUAUCACUUGUUGCAACCACAAACUAUGAAACUAAUAAGCAAAAAUCGCACAUAAACACGAAAAAUCAAAACAUAAUAAACGCUUAUGUUGUCUAGAUUUGCAUCAACAAUCCUAUAAACUGUAGUCACGAAUUCAUACUAAAAAAAAUUUAAUAAUUUAAAAGCCAAAAAAAAGGGUUUAAUUUCAGUUUUGCAGAUCACUAGUGUUACAGUUCCUCUUCAUUGCUUGCUUGUUAUUAUGCAUCCACACUUUAAAAACCUGUCUCCUCAGAUUCACCAACCUGCAAAACUUAUCAAUCUCUUCUUCAUCUUUCUUCUGUAUCCUCCACCCCAAUCUCUCUGCAAACUCCUUCAUCUUCUCCUUUUGUUCUUCAUUGAUCUUUGUCCUUAUCCUCUUCUUCUUCUUCCUCAUCAUCAUCAUCCUCAUCGACCCGUUUCCAUCAAUACUCUGGUUCCGAUGAUUCAAAAUCUUGUUCAUAUCCUCGCUCGAAGAAGAUGUCCUCCGUCCAAUCUCUCCCGUUGGAUGCAUUCCACGUGGCUGCACCGCCUUGUACGAGCUGUUACUGUAGUAAAACGCCGGAGUUAUCAGCUCUUGUUUACUGUGUCCGUACAUUUCUUUCCGGUGGAAACUCCGGUGGCAUUUGCAGGCGGCGCAUUUUAGAGCACCGAGCGUACCCUCUUCACCUCCGGGCAUGAAGUCGCAGCAUCCGUCCACCACGUGUCCUCCGGUUAAAGCCGCGUGGUUCUUUUGACAUUCCUUGUACUUCGCUGCUUGGUCGCUACGUGUCAUCGGUUUAGGGUUUUCUUUCUUGACGGCGGUGUGAACCAUGGGAGGUUUGGAGAUCGGAUCUGAACCUGGUUUGGCAUCCGGACUCGGGUACGGGUCUCUUCCCGGGUCGGAAUGUGGUUUUACUUCCAAGGGUGUGGUUGAGAUCAUGGAAGUAAUGGCAUUACCGUUUCCUCCAAACUCCAUUAUAAAAUCUGAAUCAACAGAACAAAAAAUUUGUUAAAAAUUAAACCUUUUAUAAUCAUUCACUAAUGCAUGCAAAAAUCUCUCAUUUGGAUAAUGUUUUCAUUUGUAUUUUUUGGGAAUUUAAGCGGAAAACGGAUAGAUUUGAGACUCACCUGAAGAGACUAUAGAACUUAUUGUUUCAGUGAAGAGUAGUGUGAGAGAUGAGAUUGAUAUUGAAGAAGAGGGAGAAAUAGAAAGGAUAGUGGUGAUGAUGUGUGUGCAUCUGUUUCCUAUCGCCCAUCAAGUUUAUUUCACAUGAAAAUCCAACAAGAUUUAGGUUUUUUAAUUAUAAUUAAACCUACUAGAGAGAGGUGGUGGUGCCUCUUAAUUUAGAGACAUUGUCAUAUGUUUGUUAUCUCUCACCACCUGCAACUUUGGCCCAUCUCCCAUUAUUGCAUCUGCCUUCUCUAUUUCUCCAUUUUCUUUUGUGAUGAUGGUAUUGGUGUUACUAAUUAAUGUGUGUCUGCAAAAAACUCUAGCUUAGUCAAACUAUUACCAAGUAGUAAAGACUUUUGGGGUAGGAGGAGAGAUGAGAAGUAACUAUUACCAAGUACUCCUAGUAAAGACUGAACUAACUAAAUGCAUUAAUUUUUUACUAAAAAAAAAUACUUGUACAAUGUAUGUCGAUCUUAAUACACUCUCAUAAUAAUAUUUCUACUUAUCAAGCGUCACAACUUAUCUAUCCGAUUUAGUUAAUGUUGCAAUAAAUAUGAGAAAAGUAACAUCAACAACUGUGGUGUGGCGUUGGGGUUUGCAUGGAGUAUUUACCAGAGCUUCAAUUUCCCAUACGAAAUUAGGGUUUUAAAUAUGGACAUUUAUAGGUUAAGCAUUAACAGUAACUAAUCAGAGUUAAUCAUAGUCUUGAAAGAGAAGACAUAUUUAAUUAUUUUUCCGGUGGGGAUGGUUGAGGAAUUAAAGCAUGAAAGAGUGUAAAGAUGGUCCACAUAAGCACAACACAAAGACCUGCACUUUUAUUUAUCUCCACAUGCCUCUUGUCUUGUUUUCAGAUUCUUUGUUUCCCACAGUUGUGUUACACUUUAUGAUGAUCUUCUUAUUUACCAAAUAUUUGAAAUCAAUGAAAAUCGAUUUGCCAUAUAGUACAAACUUUCAAAAUCGAUUUGACAUCUUUAGACUUUAGUUUAGAUUUUCUUAAUACGAGUAAAUUGUCUCCGUAAGGAAAACUCCCCCAAGUCAAAGAAAAUGUUGCUUUUUUUUUGUUGGGGUAAGUUGUUGCUUGUUUAUCGUAUGUGACAUUAAAAAAGGGAAAAUCAGAUCCAAGCUUUCUGAUUAACUAAUUGGGCCGGUUGAAACAUCGAGUCAAGCCCAACAAAAGGCGGAUAUACAGAAUUGGAACCAAGCAAAAUGAAACCAGAUAUGAUACAUAUUUCCACAUUAAGGGUUACAAGUUACAACAAUCACAGGCAUCCUCGAAAUCUUCAAUUUCGGUGGAAUAAGGUUAAAGUACAAAUAUGGUUUCCCUCGCGUGCUAUAACUUGCAACAAAAAAAGGGAAGAAAGAACAAGUGAAGCUUUGAAUAGAAGGGAAGAUAAAGUGGUGGGCGCGAAAUAGCUUCUUCGUCACAGGAUCAGAUUACCUAGCCGACCAAGAACAAGUGGGUCUUGUGUAUGAAACGGUCCCAGAUCAAUUACAAUCAUUGAGAAGCUUCAUUGAGAAAAGGAUAAUACCAUCAGUCAUCUUACUAGGGUCAAUGCUCGAUAUACAAGAUACAGCAAGAAAAGAAGAAAAAAACGCUAGCUUUAUAAAUUUUGUGAAAUUAUAGAAUCUAUUCCAAAUAUCAAAAAAGCUAUUAAACCAUAAGCCGUAUACCAAUUCAAGAAACUAAACUUCAAAUAAAUGUUGAACCAAACUAUCAAGCUUGAGAACACUAUACAGAAUCAACCUUGUCUAUAUACAUAUCAAUCAUUAAUCAUAAGUCAUAUACCAAUUCAAGAAACAAACUUUAAACCUAAAUAUCAAGCUUGAGAACACUAUACAGAAUAAACCUUGUCUAUAUACAGAUCAAUCAAUAUUAAUCAUAAGUCAUAUAUCAAUUCGGGAAACUAACUUCAAAUAAAUGUUGAAGCAAACUAUCAAGCUUGGUAACACUAUACAGAAUCAACCUUGUCUAUAUACAUAUCAAUCUAUGGCAGGGAAAUAUUAUUAUUACCAGUCAGAUGAAUGUGUUGUUUUUUUUCAAUGCUACUUGGACAGUUUGGUCUUAGAUGUCUUCUGAGACUCGAUUAGUCUCCACAUGUACCAUGAACCAACGGACCUGUAAGGUCGCCAUUUCUCACAAAGUUGCUCAAUCUGCAAUGGACCAGGAAGAUUUUUCAAACCGUAAAGAUCUUUCACACCUUUCCUCACACCAAGAUCUCCCACAGGCAAAACAUCAGGCCUAUGCAACGAGAAGAUCAUGAACAUGUGAACACUCCACACUCCAAUUCCUUUGACCAACGUUAAUCGAUCAAUAAGCUCUUGGUCGCUCAUUUCGAGAAUCAUCUCAUCGGAAAGCACGCCGCUUGUGUAUUUACCGGCUAAAUCGUGGAGGUAGCUAGCUUUCCUACCGGAGACGCCGAUCUUACGAAGAUCAACGGCGGAGAUUGAGGUAACUGCUUCAGGGAGGACACCUGAUUCUCCGCCGUCGAAUAGAGAGAGGAAUCGAUCGUAGAUGCAUUUCGCUGCUUUGGUGGCGAGUUGUUGGUAGAGAAUGGAUCUCGCCAGGGAGAGAAACGGAGUGCUGCUUGAUUCGAACGCCGGUGGGUUGUUGUGAGCUGCGAUUACGGUUCCGAGCACUUCAUCGGAGGUCUGUAGGUGGCGGAGGGCGAUAUCAAUCGUCGAUUUGGACGAUAGAGGAGACGCGGUGAUCAUCAUCGGCGACGAAUCGAGAGGAACUGACGAAACUUUCCUGAUUUUACGGGGUCGAAAUGUGAUUUUAGAAGAAGAGGAAGAACGAGAGGGCUCUGAGAUUUCGGCGGCAAUUGAGGAAUCCGGCGGCGAUGAAGGCUGAUUCACGGCGUUUAGGGUUUGACGGGUAGACAUUGCGGCGACAGAAUUGGCCAGUGGUCCGGUGAUCGUAAACCUCAUUAACUUCAGACUUAGAAUUUACCAAAUUCUUAAUUGGGCAUCAAGCAGUAUCGAUGGGCCCGUUAGUAGCCCACCAACUCUUUUUGGGCUCUAUUGCACUUCUAAUGUACGUUUCGUCGAUAUGGACAAACGACUUAACAGUUAACAUGUUUGUUUUACAAUUGUCGAUGUCCAGUGAAACGGCUUCAUUUCGUAAUCGUAGGCGAAAAGUUUCAGCGACGGAUUACUAGUGUCAUUACUUAAAACAUUUCUAAAAGUCUCAGUUUUUCGUAAGUUUAAUCGUUAGUUGAUGAAAAUGUCGUAGAACUUACAACUAGGAAACAAUUAUGAUCAACAUACGUUGAUUUUUGGUACAUGGGAUAUAUAUAACGAACAAGAAAACAUAUUGGUGGUCGAUCAUCAUAGGUAUGUUCAGCUGGUUAUGGUCAUAAAUUGCAGACAGCGGUUUGUUUUUCUCACACGCUUUAAGUGCAACUAAAUUCUUAACUGGCCCAUUGACUAGCCCACCUACACUGAAAAUUUAUGAUCGCGCAAGAGAAAGUAAAAAAAAAUAUCAUUUGUUAUGGUUGAGAUUGAAAAAAAGUUGAAUAUAUGUCGACGACGACUGGAUAGCAAAUAUAACUAUAAUAAUAAGAUAAUUUUUGUGUGUGUGUGUGAUCGUGCAGAGUAGAUUAAAAGCUGGUGGAAUUAGUACAAACAAUGUUGCAGAAUCGGUUCUGUAAAAUCGGAAAACUAAUAAUAAAAAGAAAGGUUAAAAAAAUAAUGCAAAUAUUCUGUUGAGCGCAUAUUGACACGAACAAAAGGUCAAGAAAGAGGUAAAUAGAAAAGGACAAAACGACGGUCAAAAUAUAAAGGAGAGAAGGAAACAGAGCAUAAUACGACAAAAAUAAGUUCAUUAAAUCACUACAAUGCUCUGAUCCAAACUGAAACACAACAGUACCCAGACAUGAGUAAACCCACAUUGGUACGAUCAGAAUCUAAUCUCCCAAUUCGACGAUCAGAUUUCAAUCUUCACUACCAAAAUUUUAUUUAUUUUUACUUAUAUCAUCAACCAGUAAAAAAAUAGCAAUAAUAAUUAAAGUCUCAGUUGUGAAUUUCAGGGACUCAGGUGGAACUGAAACUUCUCCGUUCAACCAAAAACUAUAUACAUUAAAAGAGUUAUAUCCUAUGUCUGCGUUUUACUUAUGUACAUCUUUUCUUAUAUUUUUUUUUCUUUUCUAACACUCGAAUGUUUUUUAUUACAUCACUAUGCGUGGAUUUGAUGUGUUAUACUUAUGUGUUCAUCACGCACACUGUUUCUUGAAUUUUAUUUAUUUAAAAAGACGAAGGCAGAGAAAAUUCCAUAAGAAGGAUGUUAAAUUUUGAAGAUAAAUAUAGAAAAUUUGUUUAAAAAUUGACUAGAACGGUGCUUUAUAGAUAAACCAUAAGUUAGACCGUCGCUAUCAGUACCAUCAACAUCAUCUCUCUAGAUAUACACUUCUACUCUCUUUUUUUUUCCAAACAUUUUCUUCUUUUUCUAAAAAAAAAAGAUAGACAUAAUAAAUAAUUAAACAACAUGGAAAUUUUAAGAAUCUAACGUCAAUUUUUUUUUUCUUUUUUUCAUCUAGUAAAGUCAUGGACAAGACUUGCUCUAUCCGCCACAUUAAGCCUCCACGAAAGGAACGGAGCACCGUCGGAAUCACCGUUGUUAGCUCCUCCGCCGCCGUAAUCAUCCAUGAACCUGAUCUCGUUUGCCGGAUAAUUGCACGGAACCCUCUGCGUCGUGUGAUGAUGACCCCACGAAGUACCAUUAUUAUUGUUGUUACUAGUGGCAAUGUUGUAAUUAUUGUAGCCGGAGUUGUGAUGUCCGUACUGAUCGGUUGCGACCGGUUGAGAUCCGACGACGCCGUUUCCUGAAGCCGCCGUGGUUCUUCUCUCUUCUUUCUUGAAACGAAUGCCGCAUGCGUUGCAUAGGGACUGUAAAUUCCAAAACCAUCCAUAUAUCAUUUAACAAUCAAUAUCAUUAUUUAAUGGCGUUUUCAAUAUUAUAUAGCUAUAGAGAAAUUAAAAUAUUCGAAAAAUAUACUCCUUCUCAUAUAUAAGGUCACAUUUGAAUUUUCGAAAAACUACAUUCAAUGAAAUUAAUGGAAAUCAAUCACCUUGUUUAACAAUCAAAAUCACUAUAUUUAAUGCUAUUUUCAACAGUAUAAUAUUGGUAAAAAAAGGAUGAAAUGUUUUUUUUUUUUUGGCAAUAUUUGUUUUAUUUGUUGAUUACUCGGAAGAAGUUGCAUUUUCAUAAUGAUCUAAUGUAAAGAAAUUACCUUAGGGCCUCUAGGACCAUUCCUCCAUAGUGGAGUAGAAGUGGUAUCACAGUUGGCACAGCGUCUGGCGAGGAGAGAGUCGCCGCCACCGCCGUUACCGCCGGAGCAGCCGCGUGUUGGCUUGAUGGGAUUAGCAGAGGGGAAAGAAGGGACGUCGCUAUACGCCGUCGUUUUGGAGUUGUUGUUGUUUUUGGUGUGAAGCAAGUCCCAGAAGUUGGAGAUGCAAGAGGAAGCACCAGUGGAAGUAGAGCGUCUGCGUUUCUCGUCCUCCUCGCAAAGCCUCGUCGAAGGAGUUCCAAGUGAAAGAGUGCAGUCAACGACGGAGGAAGAGUAAUAAUCCUCACCGUUCUGCUCGAAAACGCCGCCGUUUUGCAUGGAGAAUACCAUCGAGUAAGAGCCGCCGUUUGAGUUGGAGGUGUUGUUGUAGCAGCAGCUUUGGCUAUGGUGGUGGAACAUUCCACAAGAAUGACAAUAUUGCCCUUGCGUUGAAGUAUUGUACGGAGUCUGCAUCAUCUCUCUCACUCUCUCUUUUUCCUAACUUUGAAAACCCUAAGUCUCAAUUAAAAGAACCGAAAGAUAAUAUGAGGUGAUAAAUUUAAGUUGCAGGUUUUCACGUUGGAGUGAAGUGAAGAAUGGAGAAGAGGGUCUCACAGCUAUAUAUAGAAUCAGAAGUGUAUAUGCAGGUUUUUCGUAAAACGAAUAUUUAAAAUCAAUAGAAUAUGUGGGGACGCAGCUUUUUACGAAGUAAUUUAAAUUUAUAGUAUCAUUUACUCAUAUGGUGGUUUGCUUGCUUUUUAUGUUUUUUAUUUUAUUACAAAAUACGAUGAUACUAUCAAGUUUCUUUAGACAGCUAAGUUAAAAGAAAUUAGUAUUUUAAUCACUGUUUAUAGUUUCUAAUUACAUCACACAUGCUUGCUCUAUAUAGAAUCUCUGUGAUGGCGUUGAUAAUUUAUUGAAUCAAAAUAGACUAUUUCAAGUUAAUUUGCUUAUCUUUUUUAUAUUCUGUUUUCAAAAAAUAAUGAUAUUAAUUCCUUAAGGACGUGUCUUAGCAUUUAGACAAAAGGACAAUAAGCUACGGAGAUUGACAUGACACACAUUAUAAAAAUACCAAUAGAAUAUAGAACAAAUACAAUUAGUGGGGUUUCUAGUAUAGUUGAGUGAUUCACCGAGAAGAUUUAAAAAAACUUAAGGUUUGAACAUCAAUUGUAUUCUUCAUUGGCCACUGCAUCGAAUCUUGUAUAUAACACUACUCGGCUCUUUCAAACACCAAGAGAAUUAGUAUGGAUUUUUAUUUGAUAUUAUCCAUCUAUAAGAAGAAGAAAUCGCACCGAAAAUAUAAGUUACAAAAAUUGAACUGUGUAGAGAAACUUAUUCUGAGCAAAACUAUGAGCUGGUCGAUGGAUGCAAAUUUCGACUGUAAUGGUAAAUUUAAGACGAACACAUUUGGUAACAUAUGCUAAAAUGAAAUCAUUCAUUUUAUGUCGCUUCCAAAUACUAUACAUCAAACUUUUAUUUAAAUAGAUACGAUUGAUCUUUAGGUUAAUAAAUGACAAGGCGGGGUCGGAUGAAAAACAUACAAUUUUUGGACCCUCAUACUUACAACUCUUGUUAAUUCGUUAUAGCUUUUUAAAGCAAUUAUUAUGUCACUCACACACGAAUGUUUACUAAAUAUACAUAAUUGUAAGAAGGAUUUGAAAAUUAUCGGUUUUAGUGGAGAAGAAAUAUUAAAGCAUGCAACAAAAAAAUCGAAGAAGAAGGAGAGAGUGAUGUGAUGUUGAUGGUCACUGAAGAAGGGUGGUCAAAAUUUAGCCCACGUGACAAGGGGGAGAGAGAUAGAGAAGAGGAAGAAGAGUACAGUCAUCACUGCAAAAAAAUCUCCGAUCACGAGGCUCAAUUUUUGAUUUUUUAUUUGUUCUCUUCCAAUAUAUAAUGCUAUAAACCUCUGUCUCUUUCCGUAUCUCUGCCCUAAAACCCUGAAUCGCACGCGCUCCUGCCCACUCGCGCGUGGCCUCGUCCUUUUACUUCCACAUCGCCAUCACACGUUCGAUAUCUGCUCAGCCUCAUGUGGUUAAUGAUGAUCCAUGAUGAUGUAAGUAAAAAUGACUUAGAUUUGGUUAUUAGAUUUCCUCAAAACUUGUAGCUAUAGCUAGGCUCUACUCUACUCUUGUCGUCAACGAAUACUAGUCUUCGUCCCAUAUUUAUUAAUCGAUUUGUAUGUUUGUGCUUUAAUUAAUAAAAACCCACCAUUUCUUCAAAACAUGGACUCGAGAUUUUUUGUUACGUUUGUAGAUAAAUGGUAGGAGAACAGCUUCAGUUAGAUAUGCAGUCGUGGUGGGGGGAUCCAUCAUUUAUGUACUUCUCUUAAAUAAGAUUAUAAAUAUUUUAAAAUGUAUUUAUGCCAUACAACUGAUAUCAUCAACAUUACUGACAAUAACCAAAAAAUUAUAGACCAAAAUUUCAAAAUUUCUGCGGUUUGCUUGAAAAAAAAAGUAAUAUAAUAUGCCCAUGUCAACAUAAUCCAGUUAUAUGUGUUUACGUUGUCUUGUUUUUGAACAAUAUAUUUAACGUUGUUAAAAACUAUUUUUAGUCAUGAGAAAUAUUGCACUUCUACAUGAAAGUUUCUAUCUUAUAAAAGAAAAAGCAAACACAAAUAUGAGUGUGUUUUUUUGUCAAAAAUAUGAGUAUUAAGAUGUAUGUGAGCAAUUGAGGAUGGUGUGAAAAAACGUAUCCAAUUUUACCAGUAAAAACAUAUUUUCAUAUGUAAUUAAGUAAAUUUUGGAAAAGGAUUUGGGGCCAUUGAUCCAUUACCCAACAAAAUAGAUCAGUCCCUGGUAUCAUGUGAAAUGUCACAUAAUUUAGGUUGACAUUAGUUCAACGAAGGAACAUCGUAAGCUAUAUAUAGGUUUAAUUAGAACCACAAUGUUUUGAAUCGAUUUAUUUGGAUAACACUGGGUGAUCCGAAAGAGUGCGAUGUUCACCUUGUAUUGUAAUUAAGUCAACAUAACCAGUCGGUAACAAAUACGAGUCCGACAAAAAACAACCUAUCGGGUGUUCAAAUGUGCCAAAACCAAUAUCUGUGCAAGUAUGUGGUCGAUGUCUUUCUAAACUUAAAGUUGGAAAAAUACAUGUUAUUAACAAAAAAAAGUGAUCGAAAACAACGUCGCGUAUGGCUUAAUAAUGAAGACAUUUUACGUAUUUCAUAUAUGUGUAUUUCAUUACAAUCUCGUUUAGAAAAAGAAAUGAGACGCUUAUAAAAUAUUCUUUAAGGGAUUAGAAAAAUACAACAAUUAUAUAGAACAUCUUCUUUAACAAAAAAAUAUAGAACAUCUUCAGAUAGUUUAUGAUAUUAACGUUAAACAGAAAAAGCCUUCAACGGUCUCGUUAGAACGAAUCAUGGUCGUAGUAUAGUUGAGUAACGUAUCGAAACCCUAUGAGAAUCAAAUUCCUUGUGUGGUUUUUAAUAAAGAGAAUACGAAGUUAGAAUCAUAAUGACAUGAGAAUAUCCAAGAAGAUUUGGAUGAGUUUAGAGUAACAAGAAAAAUAUUGCAUGAAAAGAAAAGCUAAUAGAUUAGAUUGUGAAUAACCCAAAAGAUAAAGGAAGAAUCCCCUCUAUUCAAGUGAAGUACCUUCCUACAAUCAUCAAAGCAACACUCCAAUUAGCCUAUGCAUACACAUGUAUGAGCUAUAGAUCUCCUUUUUAUAUUUAAAUAAUAUUUUUCUCAGUUUUCAUGUUAUCUUAGCUUAGCAAGAGAGAGAUUCGGCUCUUGAAUCUUGAUGGGUCAAAGAAGGACUCUCUAAAAAGGAAAGGUCAAAAACUAAUAAUACUCCCCAUAAAUUUGAUCUUGAACUAGUGAAAAGAAACAAAGAAAAAGCUAUUGGACCCACCUCUUAAAAUCAUUAUACCUAAUAGUAAUACCACAUGAUAACUUCUUUUUUCUCUAUAGCCAAAUUAUAAUGAUACGCUAUGAAGAAAUGCUUGUAUAUGUUUCGAUAGAUAAUCACAGAAGGGUUUCUUAUUCUUAAUCUCUGAAAAUUAUAACUUCCGUUGAGUCCAAUAGAUGAAAUUAUGUUUCUAUUUUAUUUAAAAUUAAAAUAGACAAGAGAUGAAAGAAGAUCAGAGAGCGAGCUUGUAGUUUCGCAAUCUACCUAUCAAUUCCUAACAUUUAAGAACAACAUUUAAAAAACAGUUUUAGCAAAAACAUAAACAAAAAACAUUUGAAAAACAGGAAAUUUAAAAAUAAAAAGGUGAAAAUCAGAUCGUCUUGAGAUUGCCGAACUUAGUUCGACUAACGGGACGACCACCACUUUCCAAAAGAUGCUCUGUCGAACGUUUGUAUUUAAACAAUUUAAAACUCUAAUUAUUGUACGUAAUUUAUAGUAAUUUUGCUAAACUCGAAAUUGUAAAACCGUGAUUACCCCGAGACACAAAGCGUUACGUUUCGCCACUACAUGCAAAGCUACUUACAUCUCACGCGACCCAACCAUCCGUGAUCAAUACGCCCCCAUCCAACCAUAUGUUUCUUUAACUCACGGGCUUAAACGGCGCGUUGUUUUAAAUAUUGAUUUUGAAUAAACCAAACAAUUCGCUAAUGCCCAUAAAUAAACUACGUAUAAUUAAUUUUAGGCACGAGAUCGGCUUUCCGUAAUUAUACCCCGGGAUUUGCUUUAUAUGGAAUUAUUUUAAUUCAAUGAUAACACAUAAUCACUCACAUAAUUUAAAUUCUUAAUUUUACCUUAAUUUCCCCAUGAUUUAAUUAAGUUUCGAUAUAAAAUAGCAUACUCCUUUAAUCACACACGGGGCGUGUUUAAUGAACACAAAAUAAGACAUUUGCCUUAUGCCUCCUUAAUAUUAAUCAAGUUUUAGGACUCUUAAUUUUUUGUAUUUUUAUUUAAUAUAUUAAUUAAUAUGUAUUUUUGGUGUUAUUUUUUAUGGUUGAAAAUUCUUAUAAUUUAAAAAAUAGCACUAGUAAUCUUUAAUAUUUCAUAAAAUAAUAUUUAAAUCUGAUUUACAGCUUAUAUCUUUUUAGAAAUAAUUAUAGUAAAAUAUACUCUCUUUGUUCCGGAAUAGAUGAUGUUUUAGAAAUUUUACUCUUAUUAAGAAACAAUAAAUAUGUGUUGUUUUUAGCUAUUUUUUUAUCUUUUCACUUUCUAAAAUUUGUUUUUCACAUACUUAUUAAAUGCUCUAUAAUCAUUAUGAAUGAAUUUUAGCUCCAUCACUUGAUACUAUUGGUUUGUUUACAAAUAAAAAUUUAUUACUUCAUAAUAAUUAAAUAAAAUAUAUUAUUAAAUUUUUCUUGUAAACUGUAAUAGCAUUAAAUAUUUCUAAAACAUCAUCUAUUUUGGAACAAAGAAAAAUCCUAAAACAUCAUCUAUUUUGGAACAGAGAGAGUAUAUUUUUUCUUGUCAUUUGCCUUAAACCUCUAACACUCUAAGCACGACAUUGAUCACACAUUUCUAAACUGUUCAAUACAUUUAAUAUUUUAAUCAUAUCUUUCUAUUUAAGAAUGAAAUUUCUAAACUAGGCUUAAAGGAAGACAAACUUGCUCAGGAAAACCACAAUCUUAAAAUUGAAAUUUCUUUAUGCGCACAUCUAGUUGUUUUAACGAAAAAACAUCUAACUUAUUCAGCUAAAAUUUACAGCUUACAUUUCAAUUUAUACGUAUUAACAAUCUGUGUAUGUAAGAGUUUUAUAGUAAAAAAAAAGAACAAUCAAACGGCUAUACGAAAAACAAAAAGAAGGUAAGGAAGACACCGGCUCGUAGUCCGGUAUGAGAGCAAUAAAACUACACGGUGUUUGAUGAUAAUGCAAAUGCAAAUGAUGAUGAUGUUGGCUUCGGUGGAUUCGGCAGGACCCACAACGUUGCCAAAAAGUUUCGCGAGUUCCGAGAAACAUAAAAGCAAGAGAGAGAGAGAGAGAGAUCGUAAAAUUUUGGUGACGAUGAGUCGAUUACUUGUGAAUUAAUCGCUUUGUCGUUAAUCAGGGUGCCACGUGGAUAAAGCCGCGAGAUUUAAUUCUCCGCAUGCAUGCAUGUAAAGCAAUCAAAUGAUAAGUCACUAAACGACUAAGUUUAAUUAAUGUUUAAUUUAAUAUAAUAUGUGUUGGUUUAGGAGUCGUCUUGGUCACAUUAAUAAAAAAACGGGACAUUCCUCAAAAGUUACAAAACACGACUGGAAUGUUUCUUCUCUCUGCCCUUUUGAUGGAUUCUGCUUUCUCUCUUUUUUUUUUGAAAAUUCUGUUUGUAUGGUAUGCGUUCUUAAAAAACGAAAAAUCAUUAUAGGGGCUAACUAAUAAUGCUUUCUACUUUUAUAGUAUCAGAUACAUACAAAAAUAUUGUGAAAAAUAUUGUGGGCUAUAUAAGUAGUUUAGUUAACAGAUCAAUACUUUUUUUAUAACAAAAUAAGGUCUAAAUAAAUGGAUUGGUUUUUGAUGGAGUUUAUUAAUUAUUAUAGAUUUUAGACUGGUAUUCUAUGGCAAAAUGUACUUAAAACAAAGUUUUAAUUCGUGGAAGUUGUUAUAGUUUCCAUUUGCAGUCACUUAUAAGAUGUUUGGAAAUUAAUGAGUAUUAAUUUUGGAAAAACAAAAUUUACCACCAAAAUAGGUAUGAGGACUUACUGUAUUUUUGUUUCUACUUAAACGAAUUAGUUGGAAUUUUAGAAGCCUAUAUACACACAAUAAAACAUGUCCCUCGAUUUGUUUUUUUUUUUUUGUUAAACGGUUAACUAUAUUAAAUUAUAAAUAUAACAAUACAAAUUCCAGCUGUCAUAUGUUAAGACCAUAUUUUGUUUUUGUCUACGGCUCCUGUAACCUCAUGUUGUCCCCUCCAAAGCGUCUCUUCACAUUUCCUAAGGAUUCAUGUUAUUGUUAUGAGGUCUUCGCAGAUUUUAUAUACUAAAAAGUUUAAGCUAUAUGUUGUAAGUAAUAUGGUUGACUGGAAUAUAGGCCUAGCUCCAUAUUUUCUUAUUGUUCUGAAACACAAAUUAUCUUAAACAAACAAAUAUAUCAAAUAUAAUUAACAAUCUUGGUGUUGGUAGAAUAUAAUCCUGUACUCAAAAUUUUACUAAUUAUGUAAAAUAAUUAGUAAACUUUAAGUAAGCCCAAAAUCAUUUACGUAAAAUAAAAGAUGUAAGUUUGAUAUAUUUGAAAAUCUUAGGGGGUAAAGUCGUAAAGGAUGAAUGAAUCAAUCGCAUUUUGCAAACCCUUGUUUCCAAAAUGAAAAAAAAAAAACAAUCGUCUCUUAUUCGUUUAUAGGUAAUGGAUAAAUCAAUCGCAUAUAUCAAAUGAGAUAAAAGAGACAGAUGCACUAAAAAAAAUUUAGAAACAAAUGUGGGAGUGGUCCAAUGUAAGUGAAAAGGGCAAAAGAGGAAAAAGAAAAUGGUUGGACCAACUAGAGGAAUGCCCCAAGAUUGGGAGAGGUAUCAAUCAUGAUACAAAAAGAAAAACAUGAGAUAUGUAUACAUAAAUAUGAUCAAAGGUGGUCACUUUGGUCCAUGGUACAUCUUUGCUAGCUUGACCAAUUCUUCUAGGGCUAAUGUAUACUGUAUUUGAUUUGUUGUAUCAUCUUUACCCAACAAGUUUCUCUUUUUAUAUAUAUAUAUAUUUUUUUUUUUGCUGUUAACGUUUCCCAAUCACUCCACUUUGAAUCUUCCACUUAUAUUCUUUUGUCUUCAACACAACACAAAACUUUCAACUUUUUUCUUGUUCUUGUAGCCCAAUAGCUUUGGAGCAUAAAGAGGGAAACACUCCAUCUUAACUCGGAUAAUCGUCGAAUUAUUGUUAAUAUUUAUUUUAUUUUUGAUCUCCCAAAACUGUUUCACCGCUAGUAAAAAAAAGAUGUAUGUACAAUGAUAAUUGAUCAUUAUAUUAGGCUAGACGAAUGAAUUACUGUUGAGAUAUAUACCAUCAUUUGGUUAACCAUUACAAACUUUGGAUCAACGUAAAAACAUUUUGUAUUUUUGCAUAUUCAAAAGUAUAGAUACACAUACACAUACAUAUCUCUAUUGGGUAUGAAAAAGGUCAAAAGCCUGUAACUGGAAAAUGCAGGAUGGAUCAUAAGAAUUUCAAAAGGCAGAAUGAUAUUUUGAUAUGAAUUGGCACUUCAACCAUUUUCGAAUCUUCUGUCUUCCCCCAUCGAAUUCCGUUUUGACUCUUUUUACAAUGCACGCCGUUCGGCGUAUUCGUACUUCCUCCUAAUAUAUAUAUUACCUUUUAGCCCCUCUACUAUCUAUUCUAUCUCCUUCAACCCACAUAAACUAAAAUGGUCACCAAUUGACGCUUAUAGAUCUCAACUUCUGGCCGUUUUUUAUAUUCAUAAACUGCAUCCAGUUCAACUUCACCAUUGCGAUUCACAGGCCCAUGUUAGACCACUGAAGCCCAUGACCCAUGUAACCACCAUUUCAUGCUCAAAAAGCAAGAGAAGACUACUACAGUUCGUAUAAACAAACACCGAAAAGAAGAGUUGAAUUACAAAGGCUUUGAAGUAAUUUCAAUAUUCAACUGACUCUUUCUCUGUCACCGUUGAAAUAAGGUAUGAAGCUAACGACCACGCCACCCGGAAACAGACUUCGGGACAAGCGAAAUCGAGUUCGAGGCAGCUUCUAAUCUGCACAAUGCGCGAAAGAAAAAACUGUUUACUUCCACACCACAAAAGCAGACAACACUAGAGGGAGAGAGAGAUGGAGAGAGAAGAGAGAACUACUUUGAUAUUUCUUCAACAGCCUUCAUGACUUCCGCGGAACUAGUUUCAAGUACCUGUCCUCCAAACACAAUCUCAUCUAACACGGCAUGCAUCUGCAACAUGUGGAAUAAAUUAAAGAAAGAAGAUGACUCAACGUCCUAAUACUACGCGCUUUUGUUGCAUUUAGUUAUCCCAAAAAAGCGUCCAAACGAGUAUGCAGCACCAGCUUUUUAUUAUAAUACCGUAUACAUGACGGUAAAACACUAUUCUGUGUAAGACUAUUACCUUGCUGUAGUUGAACACAAUGUCGAGUUCGCAGACAUUACUGAAGCAUUUGUCAAGUGUUUCAACAAGAACUGCCAAUGCAAGAAUCAAACUGAAGUCAUCAUACAAUAGAAUUUACAUUUUCACAGCUUUAAAGAAAAAAAGCAAAUGAGCAGAAGAUUUGGCAACGAUUCAUAUCUUCAACAUCAUCCGUGACUCGAUAUAGUACUCGAGCCAAUUAUGUCUCUUAUUCAGAUUUGGCUAAGAGUUCAUGAUUAUAGUACUCGAGCCAAUUAUGUCGCUUAUUCACAAAAAGGAAAACACUCUACCACCGAGAUCUGAUUAAAGAGUAUCAAGUAUCGAGCCAAACCAUUACCAACCCAAAGAAUUUAACAUCAAGAGCUACGUUAACCACAUCCUAUACAUGCUAGCUGAUCGGGCACACUAUCCAGACACAUUUGUACUUGAUUCAUGGCAAAAAGCUCUAAUGAAAGAGUUAAGACAAUGCACUAUUUUACUACUCAAGAUUCUGAUUCCUACAGUCUCUGUUUCUAUAUUUUACAUCCUCGAAGCUGAUUGCAAUCUCAGACUCCUCUUAACAUCUACUUACUGAGACCUAACACAAUAACUUUUAUCGGAAGCUCCAGAGGGAAGACGUUGAUUUUAGCAAAAUCUCCGUUUGCAAUAUGAUAUCUAAGAGAAAAAUUGGUGUACGCACCUUGAAUGAGAUCAAGCAUGGCGAGCUCAUUUUCCGAACCAUCAAAAACAAGCACAACGUAGAGAGUAGCAUAGUGCUUGUAUACAAGCCGAGAGUCCUGCAAACAAUAAACAACAAUACAUAAUAAUAAGUCGCCAAAAAAAUUUGGGAUACACUAAACAAUUUUGUUGUUGUUGUUUCUGUUGAGUAACCAAGCAUUGAAAUUACAUAGUAUUAUCAUGAAGGAGCCAUUACCGGGCCAAACAAUGAAUUGAUCUCCAGAAAAUUGCUUACAUUCUCAGGUCUACUGCACAAUACUGUAACAAAUUGAUAAAAGAAAAAUCAGAAUCGCAGCUUCUAGCGAUCGUAACAAAGACCAUAUAUAGCACACGAUCGACGGAGAUCUUAGAAACAUAAGACUAUAAAAACGUUCAGGAGCAUGGAUUCGUAGAUGCCGAGGUGAUUGUUGAUUGGAAUCUGGGAAAAUUCGAGGAUCAAAUGAGAUAAAGAGAGAAGGAUAAACCUGAAAAUACUCCGCGUAUGAGCUCUUGUUGCUUCUCUACAGGCUGAAACCAAAAUCCCAAAAUGAAAAACCCAAGUUGAGAAUCGGUCACUAGAGAUCGAAGAAACCAAAAAUUGAAAAACAAUAUAUCAACAAGCAUCGGACCAAGAAAUCGUAGAAUUUCGCUAGCCGUGGUUUGCCUUGUGUGUUCAUCAUCAACACUGCCUUUAUCAUUUUUCACCUCCUUCUUUCUCUCUUUCUCCGUCUUCGCCGAAACUCUCGAAAACUCCGAUCUCACAUAUUCAACCAGUAACCUUCCGUCUAAAGCAGAGGCUUAUUCCGAAUUGUUAUUAUAUAUAACAUCAUGACUAAUGGGAACUUCCCACGUGUAAACAAAUUCGAAAUGCCCUAAUUUAAAUGUGGGAUAGAAUCGGCGCCGUCGCGAGGAUUUGGUCAAAUCAAUGGUUACUGACACUCUCCGAGAAGAUGGUGGAGAAGAAGACCACACGAAAAUGCUUAUAAUCGACGGUGCAUCGGAGCUUCAGAUGUGCCGGAUCCACUCGAUCGAAUCAACGGUUGUGAUUCGUCAGUUACCGUCUCAAGGCAUCUCCUUCAAGCUCUGGCUUCCUGCAACAACUCUCGUCACGCUUCUCGAUAACUACCGUCGUGACCCAAUCAACAGCCCUCUCACUCGCACACUCUCGAGUUUCACAUCGGACGGCUCAGAUUCUUCUACGCGGCUCAACAUCGUCGAGCUCGGAUCCGGAACAGGGAUCGUCGGAAUCGCUGCGGCCGCGACGUUAGGAGCCAAUGUUACAUUGACGGAUCUCCCAAACGUUAUCGAGAAUCUCAGAUUCAACGCCGACGCGAACGCUGAAGUCGUGGCUAGAUCCGGUGGGAAAAUCCACGUGGCGGCUCUCAGGUGGGGAGAAGAUGGUGACGUGGAGGUUUUGGGUCAAAGUGUUGACUUGAUUUUAGCGUCUGAUGUGGUCUACCAUGAACAUCUUUACGAGCCUCUCCUUAAAACGCUGCGUUUGAUGCUCUUAGGAGGAGAUGAUAAAAAAGAAGACUCAAAGAGAGUGUUUCUUAUGGCUCAUCUCAAGAGAUGGAAGAAAGAAUCUAUCUUCUUCAAGAAAGCUCGGAAGCUCUUCGAUGUUGGUGUUAUACACUGUGAUGAUCCUCAAGAAGGUUCUCGAAUCGGAGUUGUAGUUUACCGUUUUGCACCGAGAGAUCAUACCAUGAAGAAAUUUGUUUUGUCAAAUGUUGGUGAUGAAUGAAAACUGUUUCAUCCCAAUUCGGAGGCUUGAAAAGAUUACUUCUUUCUUUGUGUUGCUUAAAACAAUGGAAAUGGAAAACUUGCGAUACAGUAAAGAACCUGACUUUUUGUGAUCCAAUCAUAUCAUAGAGCAAACAAGAAAACAUUAUUUAUAUAUCCACUACUGGGGAUUUGAACCCGUGAGCCUUUGUUAGCAGAGAACUAAUUAAGUCAAUCAAAAAUUAGGUUGUCCGUACUGAGAAGGAAGUAAAGAGAGAAGGAAAGAAGAAAUGACUCUGGGACUGAUAAACGCGAAUCCAGUUGUGCAGGCUAAGAAGGAGCGGCUUACUCGUACACGAGAUCAAUACAGAGAUGAUGGGGUUGAUCCUCUCGAAAUAUAUGAUAUCCUUUCUUCUUCUUGAAUUUGGUUUGAUCAAUUCAGUUACUGAUUUUUGUUUCUGAUAUCUAUUCUGGAAUAUUGCUCUCUGUUUUUUUUCUUGGAGUUUUGUAUAUGUAUAUUUUGGAUUCUUUUGACGAAAAUAGACCAAAGUAUGUAAGAGAUAUAAGAGAUCCAGAACAUCCUUAUACCUUGGAGCAGCUAAGUGUUCUGUCCGAAGAUUCCAUCACUGUCGAUGACAAGCUCGAUCGCAUCCUGUGAGUUAUAUAACUUCAUCUUUGGUUGUUUUAUUGUUCAAUCUUUUUCUUUUUAUUUAGCGGUAUAACGCGAGUAGAUUAUCAGAAGAAAGUUUCUUUUUUUUUCAAUUGAUUUGUUAUAGAAAUUGGAUCCGAGUGUAAAAGGCCUUGUUGUGUUUACUUAUAUGAUCUUUAACGAUUGUGGCUGAGAUGUUUAACAAAAAAACAUUAAGAUUUGGCUGUGUGAUAAACUCAGGAUAACGUUUACACCGACGAUCCAGCAUUGCAGUAUGGCAAAUGUAAUUGGUCUGUGUUUGAGAGCUAAGCUUAAAGAAUGUUUGCCACUUCAUUAUAAGGUCAUAUAUCCUUUAAAGAAAAACUCUUCAAUCUUUUCUGAUUAUGACAGAUUCUUUCAAAAGCUUACUUGUUAUCUAUGUUUGAUUGUUUCUGUUUCGUUUUACUCAUAUUCAGGUUGAUAUCAGAGUCUCUCCUGGUUCUCACGCCGAUGAAGAUUCAGGUGAGGAGGUCAUAUAAAUGGUUCUAGCUGCUUAAGUCAUAUGCUUUCUAUAUAAAGCUUAGCAAAUUCAGAGCUUACAAUAAAAAAGAAUUAUACUUGUCCCUAGUUCUUAGAUAUAUUUCAGCUUCUAAUCUAACAUCACUGCAAAAUCUGGUUUUCUAUCUUUGUAUUCGUCAGAGAGUUGAUGUUCUUUUUCUCUGAACUUUGAUACCUUAGGGUCAUUUAUUGUUGCAGUUAAUAAACAGCUGAAUGAUAAAGAAAGAGUGAUAGCUGCAUUGGAGAAUCCUAAUCUUCGUCAGCUCGUGGAUGAGUGUAUCUUCUCCAAUGAGAUGUAAACAGAGCUUUGAUUUCAACUCUCUUGUACAAAUUUAUAUAUUCGGAAUUACAUUAUAUGCCUUAGAGACCGCUCUUGUCUUCUUUUUUAUUGCUAAUGUCACAACACACAUUUUGCGAUGCUAGACUGUUUGUAUCUAAUGAUUUUAAUCCGUAGUAAUUCAAAGGACAGUUGGUAGAAUUCUGCAAUUAAACCCUAUCAAAGCCAAUAAUAGCGUGGUGAACAAUGGACCAAUCUUUUUGGUUAAAUUUUAAUGAAUAGAGAAAACUCAGAAAAGGGUUGAUAGAAGGAAAAAUAAAUCAAUUGUCUUUUAAGCAUGGUUGAUAUGAUACAUUCAUACAUCUUGAAUAACAAAGUUAUGUACCAUCAAACUUUCAAAGCAUGAUUGAGCCUCUGAAAUCAUCAUCAUAUAUACAAACAAAAACAAUAAAUAUUGACCCACGAUAUCUUUGUUUCCGCAUUAAAAUCAUCAUUGGUUAAAGAAUUUGAGUAGUUUUAAUAUUCGAACAAACACAAGAUGAAAAAGAAACGGAAACGACUGACAGCAAGUUAUUAACAAAUGACUGUGACUUGAAAUUCCGGUUGUUCUUAGUUUUCUCAAUUUUAAUUUUUGGAAUCUAAUUUGAUUCAAGCCACUCCCAAGAACUUAAGUAAACACAAAAGACCAAAAAGAAUACCAAGAUAAUCUCAGACAUCUAGAAUGCAAGACAAUACUAAAUGACACUCAAAUGCAUGAAAAUGUCCAAAACAAGUAUACAAAAUGGAGUUUAAAACCUAGGAAAAUUAACUUUUUAAAACAUGCAAAAUAUAUGUACAACUAUACUAAAAAGGGGACGUGAUUCAUUGUUUCUUAUACUUUUUACAUGGUUUGUAAAGAUGUCUUGUAGUUAAUGAACUUCUAGUAAAAAAGAUCUGAAUUAAAACUUCAUGAAAGGCAAAUUUCUAUUUAUCUCUCUCAUGUCUUACAUGAACAUUGCAAAGCCAAUAUAGUGUAGUGAAUAAUGGACCAACCUUGAUAUUGAGCCAACAAACUCUUUGGUUAAGUUGUAGAAGACAAACUCUUACAACCAUAGAAAUUUUUUUUCUGACAUAAAUAGCAGUCUGUACUUGUCCUGUCUUGCAUUAAUCAUUCACAUAUCCUGUCCUGAUCAUGUAGAUUUCUGUUUUAUACUGUUAUGGAGGCUACUUUGGUGGUUGGGGUAAACAUUCAGUUGACCGUUUGUUUCUCUGACAAUGUCUUGUUAAUUUAAUCAACGAGUUAGUUGAUUUAACUAGUUGUUUGUCGACUAGGGUAUGAACACAGCAGUUGUUAGUUCUUUAAUAACCGAAAUUUUACUAAACUUUUUAAUGCAUAGAGAAAAACUCAGUAAAGACAAGGGUCGAUAGAAGGAAGAAUAAAUGAAAUGUCUUUAGAGCAUGAUUUGAAUGGAUGGGAUACAUAUCUAAUAUCUUGAACUAUAAUAUUUGCGUAGAAACAAACUUUCAAAGCAUGAUUGAGGAUUGGAGUCCAUCAUUAUAUAUACAAACAAAAACAAUAAAUAUUGAUCCACAAUAUCUUUGUUUCCGCGUUAAAAUAAGUGAAAAUUCCUCAGACUAGCCUUAAAGAUUGAUGUAUUGACAAACUUAGCCUAACAUAUUGAUCACCUUACUAGACUAACCUUAUAAAGUUGGUCUUUUACCAUUUUGUCCAAAUAGUCAAUAUUAUUACGAAAAUGCCAUUUUAAUUUAUUAUUUUUUUUAAAAAAUCGAUUUUUUUUUUUUAAAUUGUUUUAUUUUUUUUUUGAAAAAAAUUAUUUAUUAAAAAAAUGAUUUAUUAGUGCAAAAAAAUAAAUACAAAAACAAAAAAAUAACAUAUCUAAUAUGAAAAAAAAAACAUUAUCUCUCUCAUAUUUUCUCUCAUCUUCUCUCUCAUCUUCUCUCUCGCUUCUCUCUCGCUUUUCUCUAAUCCAGAUCUGAAUUUUUUUUUUUGCCGCAUUUCUUGAUUCUGGCGGUGGAUCACUCCUUUCUCGCCUCCGUCGAUCACAAGAAUCGUCCGAUGGCACGAGUGCACCUCUCACAUCCCUUUAGACAGCGAUUUUGUCCCUAUCAUCGAUCAUUGUCCUUCCCUCGAGUCUAGAUCCUUCUGCCUUCUACCACUGGACCGAAGACCUUCCUCUGGUUCUCCUCCAUUACUAUGAAGUCGCAGCAAGGUUCAAUCGCUUGGAUCUCUUGACGGCGGUGUAAGUUUUUUGGCGGCGGCGUAAGUUUUUUUGUAUAAACUGUAACCCUAAUUUUUUUCAGAUAAGUUUGGUAGAUAUAUUUGGAGAUCGAUAUUAUAUUUUUUAGUUGUAAAGUUCAUAAUGUGUGAUGGUAGAUUUAUUUGAAAACCGGUAUGUAGUUUGAUAGAUUAUUAGUUAUUUGAUUGUAGAUAUAUUUAGAAAACGUAAUGUGGUUUGGUAGAUUUAUUAGUUAUUUGGUGGUAAAAUUAUUUUAAAAAACGAUGUCGUUUGGUAGAUUUAUUAGUCAUCUAAUGAUAGACUUAUUUGUAAAACGAUGUGGUUUGGUAGAUUUAUUAGUCAUUUAAUGGUAACUUAUUUGAAAAAUGAUAUGUGUUUGGUAGAUUUAUUAGUUACUUAUGGUAGAUUUAUCAGUCGUAUAUAUUUGAAUUUUAUAUACGAAUGACACUAUUUGUUUAUUUUUUUCUGACAGGGCUUUGCCAUGGUGAACAAAUCUUUGAUGGGAUAUACAGCAUCGAUCCGACAUAUUUUACUAUGAAUUGUAGAUUUGUAUUUGGUAGAUUUGUUUUGAAAUAAUUGUAGAUUUAUUAUUAAAUUGAUGGUAUAUCUAUAUUUGAAUUUGUAAAAAUGAUAAUUAGAUUUUAAAUGAUAAUAUUUUUGUUUUCAAAUUAUAUUUGUCGUAAAACAUUGACCUAGACAUUUCACAUUUUUACCACAUUUGCAAGUAAUGUUAUUAUUCAAUUCAAUUUAUUUCUUUACUUUCACUAUGAUGUAUAUCAUAACUGAAUAAAAUUUUAAUCAAAACACAUGACUAAAAUCAUUUGACAUUGUGAUGUUGUAAGAGUUUAUGUAAAUAGAGUUAAAUAUAACAAAUAUUCAAAAAUAAAAAUCAAAAGAUCAUAAGUAAAGAGAUGGUUAAUACAAAUAUGACAUAUAUGUUCAAAGUUAAUAUGAAAAGCAAAGUUAUCUUAAAGAAAAGAUAUAUCAUAGAAAAAAUAUUCAUGUUAGAAAUUUUUGACCAUUGAUUAUGACAUCUAUAUCGUAAAGACCAAUAAUCAUCUGUGAUCGAAUCACAGUUAACCGACAUAAUCUAAGCAAACUCAUGCAAAGAAAACGUCAAUGGUAACAAGACCAAGUCAAUAUAACCAUGGAACAAGUCUACCAUAUGUAUGUACGAAACCUGUUUAACAUACGACACUCCAAAACAAGUCUACCACACCUCUGGUUUUUCGUAGAUUGCAGAAUACAUUUAGGACAAAAAAGUAAUUUCAAUCCAAAAAGUCAAAUGUCUGCCAAACAUUAACAACUAAGUCUACCUCAAGCAUGAAAAAUAACUAUACCAUAGAAACAAGUCUACCAUAAGCACCUCAUAUGUCUACCAGAUCGAGGUUAUCUUUGUAAAUACCAAACUUAGUUAAUCUACCACAUGAUUAUUAUAAGAAAUCUACCAUACGUACAAUAACUCUACCAGAUUACAUAAACUCUACCAAACUAACAAACAAAUCUACCAACAUUCUGUAAGUCUACUUCAUAUAACAAUGAAUCUACCACUUACCGGAAGGAAUUUUAUUUGAAUUUAAAUCUACCACAAAACAAAUAUAUCUACCACAAAACAAAUAAAUCUACCAAUAUUCUGUAAGUCUACCUCAUGUAACAAAUAAUCUACCACUCACCGGAAGGAAUUUUACUUGAAUUUAAAUCUACCACAAAACAAACAUAUCUACCACAAAAGCGAAAAAUCUACCAACUAGAUAUAACUCUACCAUAAAACAGAUAUAUCUACCGUCACGUAUUGACAACUUUUUCACAUAAAUCUACUGCCAAAUGACAUAAGUAUACCAACUCAGAAAUUAAAUCUACCUCAUUGUCAAUAAAUCUACCGACAAAGUCAACUAUGCGAAAAAGUCAACGCUUUGUUUAACAAGUCCUACCAACACGUUUGACAAGUCUUCCAUUCAUAACAACAAAUCUACCGAAACAUAAUAAAUCUACCUCUUAUCGUCAAAACUCUACCAAGAUAAGUCUACCAACAUUUGUAAAAUCUACCAACUCUCGAAUAAUUCUACCAUCGUCCUAAUAACUCUACCGACAAAUUUUUGCGUUGACCAAAAUUUGAUAAGUCUACCGUCAAAGCCUGGUAGACUUAUCAAAUUUUCAGCGCUAUUUUCUGCCUACAUGACAUUAAAAAAGUAAUGGCAUUUUUGUAAUUAGAUUUUUUUCAACAAAGGUGAAAAGGGUGUUUUGGGUAUGUUAGGUUAGUUUUGUAAAAAAAAAAAAGUGCGCCAAACAAGUAAUAUAGAUACUUUCUAAGGUUAGUGUAGUAAUCCUCCCUUAAAAUUAAAUAAUGAUUUGUUAAAGAUUGUUUUCAGUAUUUUUACAGUCUAAUCAAAAUUUAGUUAGGAUGAAUUGUAAAACGAAACAGCAAAAACUAGGAAUGCUCUCUGGCCCAUUUCCCGAUGUAGUCUGUACGGGAUUACAGAUCUUAUUUUUUCUCCAUUGAUUUCAUUUUUGAAUCUUUCCGACGAUGCUUGACAACUGCUCCGGUGCUCCUCUUUAUUGAAGACGAAGCCAACAACUUCUAUCAGGCUGCGGUGGAGAUUAUAUGAAGUCCAUAAAUUCUCUGCGAGCUCAGAAAUGUUGUGUGGUUUCAAAUCUCAUCUCCUGAAGCAAGAAAAUCAAGACGGCGCCGCUGCAUAGAAUCGGUUGACGUCUCCGGCGUCUCCUUCUCCUUUAACCACCACUUGAAGAACCAUCUCUAUCAACCCAGAUUGACUCGCUGGAACCCCAGUUUUUCACGAAGCCGCUUCUCCUAUAUUCAGAUCUGAAGCUUUCUCCCUUCUUGGGAAGUAUGGUCAUGUGCUCUUGGAAGUAUAGUAUGGUCAUCACAUUCUAGCCUUGUGCUACGAUUUUCAGUACUUUCUCUUAACUUGUGAAUGAUUUAGUUGAUCUAUUAAAAGAAAGAAGAAGAAGGAGAGUGUGUUUGGAUUUCUCCCAUCAGAAAAAAAAAGAAAGAGAAAAAACAAGUCCUGGUUGUGCAAUUUCCAAAUGUCUCUAUCCUUCUAGACUUGUUCUAAGCAUCUUAAAACUUCUAACUCUGGAGACCUUUCUGGUUAUAUACGACAAAAUCAAAAUUAACUUUGUCUUUGACAAGGAUUCAGCGAAAGAUGCUAAACAUCGAAACUACAAACACCAUUGAAGCCAUAACGGAAGAAGAUGAUUGGCUUAAUGAUGCUGAUUUAUAUGAGGAAGAUGAACUGGAAUUUUUAAGUAGUGAAGCAAAUUUUCAAAUCUCCAAUCUUGGAUGCUGAAUUAUCUGAGGUCGAAGCAAAUCCCCAAAUCUCCGGUACCAAGGGACUUCGUUGAAGAAGCGAUGGCUUAGUGAAAACUAUUUUUCUCCAAAAGCAAAAAGAAAAGGCAAAAAGGAGCAGGAUCAGGGUAAAGCCCAAGGGAGACAAAAUCACAAAGGCCCAUAAGCCAAAACCACUUUCUGGUUUGAGAAAUCCCCCAAAACCAGCAAAUCGGAAUCAGAAGAAAUGAAUGUACUUGGAUGGAAUUGUCAGGGCGUAGGAGCCGAUCUGACGAAAGAUCAUUUAGAAGAACUUUAUCAUUGUUUUUUUCCUCGGUUUUUAUUUCUAUCAGAAACAAAGAACAAUCAGAUAUUUAUGCAAGAUAUGCAAAUAUAUUUUGGUUAUGACCGUGUUUAUACCGUUGAACCAAUAGGUCGAAGCGGUGGUCUAGCCAUUUUUUAUAUGGAUGAACCUACAGUUUCCAUUAUUUAUUCUAAUGAGCAUAUGAUCGACGUUGAAUCAAGUCUAGAAGGGCAUAAAAUUUUUAUGACUUUCGUCUAUGGUGAUCCGGUCCUUAAAAACCGAGAAAAUGUCUGGAAACGGUUUAUGAUAGGAGACUUCAAUGAAAUAACCGGAAAUCACGAGAAACGGGGAGGCCGCAGGCGUUCUGAAACCUCGUUUAUCCCAUUCCGGACUAUGAUAGCUAAUUGUAGAAUUCUUGAUCUCCCUUACAAGGGAAAUUCUUUCUCUUGGGUGGGAAGAAGACGAUCUGGAAAAGUCAAAUGCCGACUGGACAGAGCACUUGGAAACGAAGAAUGGCUAUCUAUUUUCCCCCACUCAUCCGCGGAGUACUUGAAACUCUGGGGAUCAGACCAUCGACCUGUCCUAGCUAUGAUUAAAUCUGAAAACACAAGGAAGAAAAAAUCCUUUUGUUUUGAUAAAAGAUGGAUUGGAAAACCAGGAUUCAAAGAGACAGUCACUUCCAGGUGGGGCCCUUUUGAUGGAAUCUCACGUCGAGAUUUCCACCUGAAAGUGGCCCGAUACCGGAAAAACAUCUCCAUCUGGAAAAAAUCUAACCCGACUAACUCGGAAAAGAUGAUCGAAGAAUUAAAAAAUCAAUUGGACUUUGCUCAAGACGAUGACAAUACAACGCUAGAGGAAAUCGAAAACAUUAGGAGAAAACUCUACAAAGCUCUCCGGGAAGAAGAAAUUUUUUGGCAACAAAAGAGUCGGGAAAAAUGGCACAAGGACGGAGAUAAAAACACAAAGUUCUUCCAUGCGCUCACUAAGCAAAGGAGAGCUCGAAACCGCAUCGUCUCCCUCAGAGAUAACAACGGACAGUUGGUGGAAAAUGCAAGAGGGAUUGAACGGGUGGCCUCCACGUAUUUUCAAGAGCUCUUCUCCUCAUCUAUCCCCUCUGAUCCGACAAUCUCGCUCCGGUUUAUUACCGAGAAAGUAUCAAAUAAUGCAAACCAAUUAGUACUGAAGGAUCCAACUGAAAAAGAAAUCCAAGAAGCCCUUUUUGAUAUUAACCCGGAUAAAGCUCCUGGACCUGAUGGAAUGACGAGCAAAUUCUACCAAAAAUUCUGGCCUAUCCUCUGCCAAGACACAGUAAAACUUGUUAAAGACUUUUUUAGCUCCGGAACUUUUGACCAUAGACUCAACCAGACCAACAUUUGUCUAAUUCCGAAAAGAAACAAACCCAGAGCGAUGGCAGAAUUUCGCCCAAUCAGUCUGUGUAAUGUGAGUUACAAGAUCAUAUCCAAACUUAUGUGUAAACGGCUCAAAAAGACAUUACCUAACAUCAUCUCGGAAACACAAUCGGCCUUCAUGGCUAGACGGCUUAUAACUGACAAUAUCUUGUUAGCCCAAGAAAACUUUCAUGCACUCCGUACCAAUACCAUAUGUAGAGAAAACUUUAUGGCCAUAAAGACAGAUAUGAGCAAAGCUUAUGAUCGGGUUGAAUGGAGUUUCAUCGAAGCCCUCCUGAUUAAGCUAGGUUUCUCGGCGAGAUGGGUUGAGUUACUUAUGUAUUGCAUCUCCUCGGUUUCAUACCAAGUCCUUAUUAAUGGAGAACCUAAAGGACACAUCAAACCAUCAAGGGGAUUAAGGCAAGGAGAUCCUCUCUCUCCGUUCCUUUUUAUCUUGUGCACAGAAGGCCUGAUUUCUCUCCUCAAAGGUGCUGAGGAAGAAGAACGCAUUUCUGGGCUGAAGGUAGCCCAAGCAAGCCCUCCAGUGUCCCACCUACUAUUUGCUGAUGAUACCCUGUUCUUCUGUAGAGCAAACAUACAACAGGGAGCAAAGAUUCUCAGAAUAUUAAACACUUAUGGAGCAGCAUCAGGGCACAACUUAACCUGGGAAAAUCAUCCAUCAUGUUCGGAAAUAAAGUGGAUCCGAACCAAAAACGAGCUAUUAAAAAUACCAUCGGCAUCUCGACAGAAGGUGGCAUGGGCAUGUAUCUAGGCCUCCCAGAGCAAAUCUGCGGAUCAAAGAAGAAAGUCUUCUCUUUUGUCCAUGAUCGCCUUAGUUCCCGGGUCAAUAAUUGGUCUGCAAGACUUCUUUCCAAAGGCGGAAAAGAGAUUCAGAUCAAAUCAGUGGCUCAAGCCGUUCCAACCUACGUCAUGUCUUGCUUUCUUCUUCCACAAGGGAUAACAGACAAACUCCGUAGCGCUAUUGCCAAUUUUUGGUGGAGCUCGAAACAACAUAACAGUGGAAUACAUUGGAUUGCAUGGGAUAAGAUUUGCAUUCCCCAAGAUAUGGGAGGCCUUGGAUUUAGGGAUCUUAACGAUUUUAACCUAGCCCUACUAGCCAAGCAGCUAUGGAGACUCAUUCAGUAUCCAAACUCUCUUCUGGCUCGAGUGCUAAGAGGAAGAUACUUUCGACAAUCUGAUCCAUUAGAGAACCGAAAAGUCUACUCACCAUCUUAUGGAUGGAGGAGUAUGUUGGCUGCCAAACCGUACCUCAAAUUGGGACUCAGGAAGACAAUCGGGUCGGGACUCAACACUAGAGUUUGGAGUGAGCCUUGGAUCCCCGAUGCUAGAGCACGAGCUCCAAGAGCAGCCCCCCAAAUCGGCUUUCAAGAUCCAGGAAUGCUAGAAUAUCAUCUUAUCAAUCAAGAUACGAAACAAUGGGAUGAGCCUCUCCUAAGAGUCUGCUUCCAACCUGAGGAUGUCUCGCUUAUCCUUGGGUUGAGACCUACUAGAAACCGUAACCUAGAUGGAUAUGCAUGGAACCACACUAAAUCAGGGAUAUAUUCGGUUAAAUCGGGUUAUGAUAUGAUUAGAAGAGCGAAGCUUGCUCAAAAUUCAGAUGUGGUGGGAGAACCAAGUAUUACAGCCCUUCAAAGUUAUGUUUGGAAAGUACGAACACCUGGAAAAAUGAAACAUCUCAUGUGGCAAGCUUUAUCAGGAUGCAUUGCUACUUGCCAAAACCUGACCUGAAGGCAUUUGGGAACAGAUAGGUGGUGUCCCCGCUGCGGGAACCCUGAAGAAUCUAUCAACCAUCUUCUAUUUUUAUGUCCCCUGGCUUUACAAGUCUGGGCGUUAUCGGACUUUCCGUCCUUUCCGGGCCUCUUCCCGAGUACCUCUAUUUACCAAAAUAUGAGCUUCCUCUUUUGGAAAACAAAAGAGCUAGGCAUGAGAGAUCCACAAAAGGAUAUUUAUCCUUGGAUCCUUUGGUAUAUUUGGAAAGCCAGGAACGACAAGAUCUUUAACGGGAAAGAAAUUCCCCCGGUAGAUACCUUAAUCCACGCAAAUAUUGAAGCAGAAAGCUGGAGGAGUGCAAACAAACCGGAAGUAGACGAGGACGCAAUAGAUGAGAUUACUCCCAUUCCUCUAACUCCGUCAUCUCUACCUGAUGCCCAGAGGUUCCCGAUCUGCCAGGUCGAUGCGUCUUGGAUAGAAAACGGUCUGGUGAGUGGGCUCGGGUGGUGUUUGAGGAAGAAUAAGAGUGAAGAGAUCUUUGGCCUUCAGGGCUGUCGGAGAAGCCUUUCGGCCCUUUAUGCCGAAUUGGAGAGCCUCCUAUGGGCAAUGUCUUGCGCGAGAGAUAGACAGAUCAUAUCCGUCCACUUUCAGACCGACUGCUUGGAUCUGGUAAGCAUGGUAGAAUCUCCAUCAGACUGGCCAUCCUUCUUUUCAGAGUUGGAAAUUUUCCGAACAUUACGAGAAAGCUUUUUGGAUUUCACUUUUUCCCAUAUCUCCAGGAGUUCAAAUGUCCGAGCAGAUGGUCUAGCGAAAGAAGCUCGAGCAAAAGGCUUUAUCUUUUCCCAAAUCAUUCAUAACGAGUCAGUUGCGGGGAAGUUUCACACCAUUCUCUUAACAGGCCAAUAGUGAUGUAUUAGUUGGAUAGUAGAAACAAAAAAAAUCAAAAUUUAGUUAGAAUCAUUUGCGAAUUAUAAACAAAAGUUAGAAAAAGAGACUACUGUAGGGAAUUUUUUAAGAAUUUAUGAUUAACAUAUGAGUGUGACUUUGCCUCCUUUCAAUGCCCAAUUUCUUGAAAUUCUGGCUGUUCUGCAUCCAACGUAUUAAACAAUCAAUUCUUUAUGUAAAUUAAAGAAGCAAAAGACAGAAAAAUUUAUUACGAAGAAAAAAGGUUGAAGCAAAUUGAUCAAAAACUCGUUCCACUUUUAUAAUCUGUCAAUGUCUUAAGAAUCUUCUUGCUUCCACUUCCAACGAUAGAUUUUGCUCUUCUUUUUUCCUGUGAUUUUCUCGGAACUUCUGGAAUCAAAGCAGAGGGAAAAUCACUACCAAUGGCAGCAGAGAAACCGAACUCAAAGAGGCAAGCAUGGUGAAGAAAGACAAAACACCUCAUUUCAAUAGUCAAAAAGAUGUUUCUUGUUCAUUCUGAAAAUUCUUUCUGUCUUACUUUCGGUGCAGGUUUUGUACCACAGGCUUGCCCAGUGACAUCGAAAUCGAAGUCGACGACAUGACAUUUCAUCUGCAUAAGGUCUUCAUUAAUACGUCUUGAGAUUUCAUCUUCUUUUCUGUUUUCAGAGUUUUCUCAAAACUUAACUCAACUUUUAUGUUCCCUUCAGUUUCCUCUGAUAUCCAAGAGCAGAAAACUCCACCAGCUGAUUACAGAGCAUAAGCAGAGACUAGAAGAGAGUGACGACAACAGGAAACGCCAUGAACAAGAGGAAUCAGUAGAAAACAACGAUUAUCUUCACAUCAGACUCGAGGAUUUUCCAGGAGGUUCGGAGAUUUUCGAGAUUGUGGUAAAGAUAUGUUACGGCGUCAAAGUCGAACUCUCUGCUUCAACAGCUGUUCCACUCCGGUGCGCCGCGGAGGAUCUCGAAAUGUCGGAAGAGCACUCACCGGAAAACCUAAUCUCAAAGACGGACAAGUUCCUCUCACAAUCCGUCUUCAAUAGCAUACCAGAAUCCAUCAAGGCGUUGAAAGCGUGCGAAUCAGUCUCUACUGUAGCCGAAUCCAUCGGUAUAACGAAACAGUGCAUAGAAUCAAUCGUCUCCAGAGCUUCAUCACCAGAUCCGUCGUUGUUCGGUUGGCCAAUAAACAAAACGAAAUCGGCCGAUACAAAACAGAGCAAUGAUUCGAAAUCGGAGCUAUGGCUCGAAGAUCUAACGGAAUUGAACUUCCCGAUCUUCAAACGAGUAAUCCUAGCCAUGAAAUCAAGAGAUCUAAGUCCCGAUCUAGUAGAGAGCUCUCUGAUUCGUUACGCGAAGAAGCACAUCCCCGGAAUCUCGUCGCGGUCUUCGUCAUCUUCCUCCUCCUCCACCAUAGCGUCAGAGAACAAUCAAAGAGAAUUGUUGGAGACGAUAAUCUCAGAUCUUCCGUUAAAUCACUCCUCGAAAACCGCAACGACGACGAGAUCUCUCUUCGGGUUAUUACGAUCCGCCAUCAUCCUCAACACCUCCGAGAAAUGCCGGACGUUCCUUGAGAGAAAAAUCGGGUCGCGGCUGGAGAAAGCGACGCUCGACGAUCUGCUCAUCCCAAGUUACUCGUAUCUCAACGAGACGUUAUACGAUGUCGAUCUGGUGGAGAGGCUCGUAGGUCAUUUCCUCGAAAUCGCCGUCGUAUCUUCGUCGCUGACGGUGGUUGGGAAACUAAUCGACGGAGUUCUCGGCGAAAUCGCAUCGGACGGUAAUCUCAAACCGGAGAAAUUCUACAGUUUAGCGAUUUCUCUCCCUGAUGAAGCACGGCUCUACGACGACGGACUCUACAGAGCCAUCGAUAUAUAUUUAAAGGUGAUUAAAAAUAUAUAACAUUGAUGCUACCCAGAUCGAACUUGUGACCUUUUGUGAUUUUGGUUUUUUUUUUGNNNNNNNNNNNNNNNNNNNNNNNNNNNNNNNNNNNNNNNNNNNNNNNNNNNNNNNNNNNNNNNNNNNNNNNNNNNNNNNNNNNNNNNNNNNNNNNNNNNNGAGUUUGGGGUAUGGAGAAACGGUGAGAGAGAAUCAGGUGCUUCGAUGGAUAUGGAGACGAUGAGGACACGUGUGUACCAGUUAGAAAGAGAAUGCUUGAGCUUGAAGGAAGUGAUCGCGAAGAUCGACAAGAAAAGUUCGUCGGAGGAAGUGAACGAUCGGCGGUUUGUGAGUAAGUGGUCGAUCAGUAAAAAAUUCGGAUGCAAAUUCAAGACACAGGUUUGUGAUUCGCGUGAGUCAACGAUGGUAGAUCGAAGAUGUCGACAUUAAUGUACUGUAUAUACACAAAUCAGAACACUUGUGCUUUGAAUUUUUUUUUUUUUUAGGUUGAAGAAUUCUAUUUUUUUUAUAUAUCGAUUUGAAAGAAGAUUGAUAUAACUUUGUAUUAAAUGAAAAAGAAGAUUGUGACUUUUGAUUGCAAUGUUUUCUUUUUUCAUAAGAUCAUUUUGGUACGAAAGAAAUAAUUUGGGUUUCGUGUAGGGAUUUAAUUUUUAUUAAUACCUAUAAUGUCGUGAAAAAUGGAAGCAUUAGGAAAAUAGCAUAGAACUUUGGCUGGUUGUAGCAGAUGCAUGGAGUGAACUUAUCCAUUUACAGACAAGAACGCUAUUUAUUUACUACUAAUCAUAUAUAGACAUAAAGAUUUUGGUCUCUAGUAGUAUAGACAAACGAAAUUUGCUGCGGAUGAUUCUUUUUUUUUUGUUGCGGAUUAAAUUAUUAAUGAAGAAAGAACGAUCCACAACUGAUUGAUGCUUGUUCCAAAAAAUAAAGCGGUCCAGUUCGCAAACGGAUUAAUUCACUCUAUCUGUUUACAAUAUAAAUCAAAAUCUAAUAUUCGAAACACUAGAAAACUAAAACUAAAUUUUUUGAAAAUAAAAUAAAACUCAGUUAUUAGUAUUCCUAUGUUUUAAUUAUAUAUUCUUCUUGUCAAUCAUUUAGUUUUUGUUUCUUGUCAAUCAAUAUUUUUUUGUUUCGGCUUAUCCCUAAAAUAAUUGAGGAUACCCAACGGCGAAAAAACAACAAUUUGUGGAUGCGACACAGAACGCGGAAACCAACGGAAUAGGUCAAACCGGAUGGUUAAUUCUGAACACGCGGCGGUUUAACCUUUCUCCAUUAGUAUUUUAUUCAAUCAGAAGGGGACACGUCACUCAUCACAAGUGGUCAGCAGCGGUAAACCAGGGCACGAUUGAGAGAGAAAAAGAACGAAAAAGCAAUUAUAAACAUUUGGGAAAUCUGAGAAUCGUGAGAAGACGACCUGGAUAAGCUGAACCUAGCUGGAGGAAUAUAAUAAUUUUGAAAGAGAUAUUAAAUAAGUAAAUAAAAAAGCUUCAAAAUUAUUGUCUUUGAAAACGAAGAUCGAUUAUCGUUUUGAUUCGGCUGGAGAAAGAAGAAGAAGAACAGAAAAACAAUGGGGCGUGUGGAUUAUCUGGCGAUGAAGACCGACGUUGAUACGGUUGCUCUGGUCAAUUCCGACUUGGAGGAGCUCAAGAUCGCUGCGAAGAAACUCGUCAGCGAUGUUUCGAAGCUUGGUGGAUUAGCCUUUGGUGUUUCUUUCGUCAAAUGGAUCGCUUCUUUCGCUGCCAUGUGAGUCAAAUUCAAUUCGCCAUCUCUGAUUUUGCUUGUCGUCGAUUUUGUUUGUUUGUUUGUUCAGUUUCUGAAACGAACGAACGAAUAUGAUUUUCUUUGUGGAUUACUUCGAUCGUCGACGACUGGGUAACUUUCGUGCUUCAUGUUGGGUCAAUUGAAAUUGAAAAAUUCGAUACGAGAUUAUUGAUUAGAAGGGUCUAUGAAAGUGAAUCUGAUUGAUGUUUAGCAACGAUUUGUUACUCUUGUUAUUGAGAUUUUUUUAAAUGAAUAACGUUUUCUCGUGGCUUUGACACCCAGUAAUCCAAGAAAAUUCAAUCAUAUUGUAACUGUUUACUGAACAGAUUAAAAAUAGUGAUUGAGAGAGGUUUAAUCUCCAUUUGUAGUAAUCCGACUGUUUCAAACUCUUUUUUUUUUUGUGUGCAUCUUUUGUUGGUUGAUAAUAUAGAUUUGAUCACAAUAAUGAUAUUGGUAUUUGAUGCAGUUACUUGUUAAUAUUGGAUCGUACCAAUUGGAGAACCAAGAUGCUUACAGCACUCUUGAUACCAUACAUCUUCCUUAGCCUUCCUGGUGUGAUUUUUAACUUUCUCAGGUAACAAUCUUUUCUUUUCCUGUCAAAAGAAAAAAUCUUUCUAUCUCACAACAUAAUUCUUACACUUAAAAGUCUAUAAAUUGCAUUGGUUAACUAAAAGUUUACCUUUCUGUUAUCAGUGGAGACGUUGGGAAAUGGAUAGCUUUCGUUGCAGUUGUACUCAGACUCUUCUUCCCCAAGCAUUUCCCUGGUGAUGAGAUCUCGUUAUCUCUUAUUUCCACUUAUUCUUCAUUUGCAUACUUUGUAUUGUUGUCUCCAAAAUCUUAAGUGUUUUAUCUUAUUAACGAAUACGCUUUUGAAGUAAAUCUCUACUUGCAUUCAAGUCAUUCCCAAUGGCCACUGUGUUGGUGUGAAUUGCUAAUAGCUGAUACUAAAGUCUCACACUUUUUGUUGUUGUGGUGUUCAAAAUUGGCAGAUUGGCUUGAGAUGCCAGGUUCUCUGAUCCUUCUGCUGGUAGUUUCUCCACACUUCCUAGUGCAUCAUAUACGCGGAACCUGGAUUGGCUCGGUCAUCAGCCUUUUUAUAGGAUGUUACCUUCUUCAAGAACAUAUCCGUGUAACGGGUGGGUUCAGGACUUCAUUCACGCAGCCCCGUGGAAUAUCAAACACUUUAGGGAUCAUCCUUCUUUUGGUCUACCCUGUCUGGGCUCUGAUCGUUCGUGUCUCAUAAAACCCACAUUCCUCUCAAUUUCAUCUCCAAGUUGUGUUCUUGCUCGGCUGGUCCAAUAAAAACUUCGUGAAAGAUCGAGCAAGAACCUAUCUUUCUGCUUCUGUUACAUACCCAAAUACUACUGCCUCAACGCAAAGCUCAAUCAAUGUUCCAUAUAUAUAAAAAAAAAGAAUCUCGUUUUUUUCAACUAUUUGUUUGUCUAUUGUAAGAAGAACUUGUAAGUUCUGAAAAGUUGUUUCGAUGUAAAUUGCUUAUGAAUUUUGUUUCGUAUAUGCCGUCGUGGAAUGUUUGUCGUUUUGGUAUAGCAAAAAGUGCAUGAGCUACACGCUGUUUCAGACUAAGUAAGGAGCCUUCAUGUCGUUUUGUCUAUUGUUGUAAUAUAUCUUGGGCCAGUAUACAGUAUCUCUAAUUAAUUUCCACAUAAGGAAUGAGUGGCGUUUUGGAUUCGCAAAAGAAGGAGAACAACACGCCGUUUAAAAUUUAAUAACUAGACAUUCAUGUCGUUUAUAUCUUAGGGGACGUCCCAAAACCCUAGCCCUAGCACGGCUUGUAUAUAAAUACUCAACUAUCCGCCGAUCUUAGUCAUAAGUCUUCUCCGAUCUCUGAGUUCUACUCUAAUUUGAACCUCAGGCUGUGCUUAGUUCUUUAGAUGUCCUUUAUUUAGCUGUAUUGAUUUCCGCUGAAUAGAUUUGUGUUUUCGUUUCUUUUCAACGUUUUUGCUCAUGUUUUUGAUCUUAUUCAUCUUUCUUUCGAUAUAAUUUUUCUCUUGUGCUUUACUUUUCUUCGAUUUUUACGAGUGGGGAAAAGGGUUUCUCAGUGAUGAACAACCAUAGAUGACGAGUCCGAUCAAUCCAUUCUUUAAAUCAUGGGGACAAACGAGGCAUUUGUCUGAGAGGAAUCCUUUUAUAAAUUUUGUUUUUCAAUCUACUGUAAUUUCUGUUUAAAGUUUUUGAUUUUGCGAUAUUUUUCUUAAGAAGGAAAAGAAUAGGCAUGAUGAGGAUUGUUUAUUGUCAUCUGAUUCAUGACGAAUUAAUACCUCCUACUCAUUCUGAGUGCUUAUUUCGUUUCUUAGUUUUCUGUAUAUUAAUUUCAUUAUAUGAUUCCAUAACUACAAUCGGUUGUCUAAAAAAUUGAAUUAGUUGACUUGUAGAGCAUUAUAUGGAUUGGUUCUUAACAUCCUAAAUUGAAAACUAUUGAAUUCCUUAUUUAUCAAUUCUACUAUGGUUCCAAGAAUUAGUAGUCCAAUUAUCAUGCGAGUGCCAAAUUAAAAUACUAGUCUCUAGUAUUAUUAAAAUUAAUGUUUGUCAUAGUUGGAUGAUGGUACCUUGAUAAAAAAAAAUGAAACUUAGAGAAUUUAAAAGGAAAAGUUAUCAUACUCGAAUUAUCAACACAUAAAAGUUUUUAAUUGUAUACGACAAAUAAAGUUCUUGACUAGCUGAACCAAUGUUUCCCCUUUGGUUUGUGCUAUUGGUGUAUAUAUGUCUCUGGAUUAAGAAAAUUUAAAACUUCUUGUUUCAAAGGAUUUUACAAAAAUAAACAAUAUUAUAAAUAAAAUUUAAACUUAUUGGAUCCUUUAUUCGAGAUUCAUAUAGACUCAUUGUAGUCACUCCAGUCCUCUGAAUGAGUGUCAUCGUGAUGCACCAAAUCAUCUUCAUAUGCAUUAUCAAUCUGUCUUUCUCUUAUAAGCUUUGCCAUCGUGAUAACGUCGUACCCGAAAAGAUAGAAAUCUAUAGCAUUCACCAUCGUGGCAAUGGUGUUACCCAUCGAAAAAUAGGAACCUGUAGCGUUUAAACUGCAGGAGAAUAUAAAAAAGAGACCAAAAGAUCAAUACCUUGUUUAGGAUUAACAACAUAUAUAACUAAUUACCAUGAUCAGAGAUAUAAUAGUAUCCACGAGAUCUGAUAGAAACGCUCUGUUUUCUCAAAGUUUAUAUGAUCAAAAAUAAAGUGCAAGCCAAUGAAAGUGAGAACAAGAGGAUCAUUAUAAUCAAACCAAACAUAGAUGCAGAAAAGAACAGAGAAAAAAGAAGAAGAUAUACUUACCGAGCCAACUUGGGGAGUUGUGUUUUGCGAGUGAGUUUUUUUAGAUAUAUAAAGAAUGAGUGUAUCAUGCAUCUGUGAAGAGGAAAGAGGUGCGCGAAUAUGAACAACCUUGGCUCAUCGUAAAUUGAUACUUAGCCAUAAUUACGAAAUUAAAUAUUUGAACUACCAAUGUAUAUUAAAGGACUCUUCAAGUGCCACCCUUUCUGUUCUUACUCGACUUAGUUAUCAAGAUUCAUAUUUUUCGUGGGAAAAGAGAAGCAUUGUGAAUUGUGAGAGUGGACCUGCGACUGGCGCUAUUUAGUAGUCUGCGACUGAUUUAUAUCCAUAGUCAUAUUGGUUGUAUUGAAAAGCUCUAUAAUUCAUUGUCAUGUUAUUGAUGCUAUUUUUGCCAUUUUUCUUUUUACAGGACCCAAAAAAAGAGUUAUGUUUAUGUUAACUUUAAAUUCACAAAAAAAUAAACCACAAGCUUGGAUGAAAGUAAAAAACUUCAAUUUCCCGCGCGAUUAGUUUCCAAGUUCAUAUAAAUAACAUUAAUUUAUACGAUUAAAAAAAACCCUUUAUAAUUUUGUUGCGACUUAUAUAGGCUGUUGACCAAAGGAUUCAAAACAGGACGAAGGUUCGAAGAGCUUCCAGAGAAAAUAAUGAUUUGUUUUCAAAUAAAUUAUUGUAUCCACGUCAGCAUUGCAGAUUGAGACCGUAUCUAUAUUUCCACAUCAGCUUCUGACACGUGGCGACCAAACAACCGUAGACUCCUGAAACUAUCCAAUGAAAAAAUUCGAACUUAUCCGACCUUAUCUUAUUAAGAAGAAAAAAAAGCCCUCUCCUCCGAUUAGUACUUCUCAGCUUCACAUUAUCAUCAUCACUCAAACAAACACAAACAUCUGAGAAAUUGUCGUCAUGGCAACCUCUCUACAAGCCGCCACAACUUUUCUUCAGCCGGCCAAGAUCGCCGCUUCUCCUUCUCGCAGCGUUCAUCUCCGAUCAAACCAAACCGUGGCCAAGUCCUUUGGGCUUGAAUCUUCACCAGCUAGACUCACUUGCUCCCUCCACUCUGACUUCAAAGACUUCGCCGGAAAAUGCUCCGAUGCUGCCAAAGUCGCCGGUUUUGCUCUCGCCACCUCUGCUCUCGUCGUCUCGGUAUAACUUCAAUUUCUCAUUAAACAUAUAAACUAAAAACUUAUAGGCCAUUGUGUUUAUUGAAGAACCAAGUUAGGAAUCGUUAUCUAAGACACAUCCAUUUUUUGACUGCCGAUAAAUUUUGAAUGAAAAACUUGUGAAAGAUAGACAAAUCCACUCAUUACCAUUUCUUUUUUUAAUAGGAGCAUUACAAUACUUGUAAAUUUAGUUGCAUAUUGUUAAUUAGUCUUUUAUUCUUGUUCUGUAAAUAAAUAUUUGGGAAAAAUGAAGGGGGCAAGUGCAGAGGGAGCACCAAAGAGGCUAACGUACGACGAGAUACAGAGCAAGACUUACAUGGAGGUUAAGGGGACUGGUACAGCGAACCAGUGUCCAACUAUCGACGGUGGCUCUGAAGCAUUCUCAUUCAAGCCUGGUAAGUACACUGGCAAGAAAU